ACAGCCUGNAACCCGGCUGUAUGAAGCUGGAAUCGCUAGUAAUCGCAGAUCAGAAUGCUGCGGUGAAUACGUUCCCGGGUCUUGUACACACCGCCCGUCACACCAUGGGAGCCAGGAAUGCCCGAAGCCAGUGGCCUAACCGCAAGGGAGGAGCUGUCGAAGGCAGGCCCGGUAACUGGGGUGAAGUCGUAACAAGGUACC
RNAcentral lists this ribosomal RNA (201 nucleotides) under uncultured bacterium. Its description in RNAcentral is "partial 16S ribosomal RNA". It matches the Rfam family "Bacterial small subunit ribosomal RNA", at positions 1300 to 1500 of the family's 1533-position model. The record is from RNAcentral.